GUACACUCCUACGGGAGGCAGCAGUGGGGAAUAUUGGACAAUGGGCGCAAGCCUGAUCCAGCCAUGCCGCGUGAGUGAUGAAGGCCCUAGGGUUGUAAAGCUCUUUCACCGGUGAAGAUAAUGACGGUAACCGGAGAAGAAGCCCCGGCUAACUUCGUGCCAGCAGCCGCGGUAAUACGAAGGGGGCUAGCGUUGUUCGGAUUUACUGGGCGUAAAGCGCACGUAGGCGGACUAUUAAGUCAGGGGUGAAAUCCCGGGGCUCAACCCCGGAACUGCCUUUGAUACUGGUAGUCUUGAGUUCGAGAGAGGUGAGUGGAAUUCCGAGUGUAGAGGUGAAAUUCGUAGAUAUUCGGAGGAACACCAGUGGCGAAGGCGGCUCACUGGCUCGAUACUGACGCUGAGGUGCGAAAGCGUGGGGAGCAAACAGGAUUAGAAACCCGGGUAGUCC
RNAcentral lists this ribosomal RNA (448 nucleotides) under uncultured organism. RNAcentral's name for it is "partial 16S ribosomal RNA". It matches the Rfam family "Bacterial small subunit ribosomal RNA", at positions 331 to 796 of the family's 1533-position model. The record is from RNAcentral.